UGAGUUUGCUAGACAGGAGACCACACCCGGGCAGAGAGGAGACACCAGAGUGUAAUUCAUACCACAGCUGCUGUUUACAGUGCUUAUGAAAAAUGAUGAAUCGGCAACCUUGCAGAAUCAAGCACCCAAAGGAUAUGCUGCCUUGACACCUGUGAUGUCUGGUUUUGAGUGGURUGCUGGACUAUSGAGGUGGAAAGGCCUUUAUACACARAAAAGCUCCAUCUCUAGUUUUUACCUGGCUGCUGAAAKUGGUUUCCCCAGAACGUUCAGUGAGGAAGAAUUGAGAAAAGAGGCUGAACAUAAAGUAUCRUCUUUUGGGGCUCUACAUCUCCUAACAUUUGAAAGUCUUGGUGAAGAGAAAGGGAUCUCAAUCUCAGUGUUUUUACUUCUUGGUGUUCCCGUGUGAAGUAAGUAUUAAUACUGCCCAGUUUUACAGGCAGAGGCUGACUUUGUACUGUUGCAAAAAGGCAGCUGCUAAUAGCUUUUCUAACACUAUCCUGAGCUUUUACCACCAGAAGUCUUGUAUAUAUUGUGCUCUAGAGUGUAGAUUUCUGUAAAAUGUAAUUGAAUCGUUCUAUAGAAUAUUUUUUUUUACACCUGUUUCUCGUAUGUUGUUAGUCCUUAAACCAUCUCUACUAAACACUGCAUCUGUCUGGAGUCCAACUGAAAUUAAUUUAUCAGCUCAUGAGGAAAAGUGUGCAGGAUCAGGGUCAGUCAAAGAACCAAAUGUUG
Molecule: long non-coding RNA, 732 nt
Filed under: Dromaius novaehollandiae (emu)
Lineage: Eukaryota; Metazoa; Chordata; Aves; Casuariiformes; Dromaiidae
Description: lncRNA (ENSDNVG00000014890.1)
Source: RNAcentral